This 497-nucleotide ribosomal RNA is filed under the name uncultured bacterium. RNAcentral describes it as "partial 16S ribosomal RNA". It matches the Rfam family "Bacterial small subunit ribosomal RNA", at positions 28 to 507 of the family's 1533-position model. The record is from RNAcentral.
GAUGAACGCUGGCGGCGUGCCUAAUACAUGCAAGUCGAGCGAACGGACGAGAAGCUUGCUUUUCUGAUGUUAGCGGCGGACGGGUGAGUAACACGUGGAUAACCUACCUAUAAGACUGGGAUAACUUCGGGAAACCGGAGCUAAUACCGGAUAAUCUUCUGAACCGCAUGGUUCAAAAGUGAAAGACGGUCUUGCUGUAACUUAUAGAUGGAUCCGCGCUGCAUUAGCUAGUUGGUAAGGUAACGGCUUACCAAGGCAACGAUGCAUAGCCGACCUGAGAGGGUGAUCGGCCACACUGGAACUGAGACACGGUCCAGACUCCUACGGGAGGCAGCAGUAGGGAAUCUUCCGCAAUGGGCGAAAGCCUGACGGAGCAACGCCGCGUGAGUGAUGAAGGUCUUCGGAUCGUAAAACUCUGUUAUUAGGGAAGAACAUAUGUGUAAGUAACUGUGCACAUCUUGACGGUACCUAAUCAGAAAGCCACGGCUAACUACGUG